GCUGUGCUAUCACAAUCAGCUCAUAGCUGCUCAGAACCGAAUCUGCCAGGCAAUCACCAAAAGCGAGCUUCUCUGCUCCUUCCGGUCCGGCUGCAGCGUUUACGAUUACGAUUAUGGCCACCCCCAUGUGAGCUUAACCCCUCCCCGAAAUUAAUGUUGACUUGCUCCAGAUCAUAAAUUGAGGACGGUAACUUUUCCUUUACCUUUUUUCGUAAAUAACCAAAAAAAACAGAGAAGAAAAAAAAGAAAGUAAAGAAAAGAGGAGG
Molecule: long non-coding RNA, 266 nt
Filed under: Elaeis guineensis (African oil palm)
Lineage: Eukaryota; Viridiplantae; Streptophyta; Magnoliopsida; Arecales; Arecaceae
Description: long non-coding RNA (EGUI_LNC016619)
Source: RNAcentral